AGCAGCAGCCACGGGAAUACGAAGGGUGCAAGCGUUAAUCGGAAUUACUGGGCGUAAAGCGUGCGUAGGCGGUUUGUUAAGUCUGUUGUGAAAUCCCCGGGCUCAACCUGGGAAUGGCAGUGGAUACUGGCUCGCUAGAGUGUGUCAGAGGAUGGUGGAAUUCCCGGUGUAGCGGUGAAAUGCGUAGAGAUCGGGAGGAACAUCAGUGGCGAAGGCGGCCAUCUGGGACAACACUGACGCUCAGGUGCGAAAGCGUGGGGAGCAAACAGGAUUAGAUACCCGCGUAGUCCCUGUCUCUUAUAC
Molecule: ribosomal RNA, 303 nt
Filed under: uncultured bacterium
Lineage: Bacteria
Description: partial 16S ribosomal RNA
Rfam family: Bacterial small subunit ribosomal RNA
Source: RNAcentral